AGUGAACGCUGGCGGUAGGCCUAACACAUGCAAGUCGAACGGCAGCACAGUAAGAGCUUGCUCUUACGGGUGGCGAGUGGCGGACGGGUGAGGAAUACAUCGGAAUCUACUUUUUCGUGGGGGAUAACGUAGGGAAACUUACGCUAAUACCGCAUACGACCUACGGGUGAAAGCAGGGGAUCUUCGGACCUUGCGCGAUUGAAUGAGCCGCUGUCGGAUUAGCUAGUUGGCGGGGUACAGGCCCACCAAGGCGGCGAUCCGUAGCUGGUCUGAGAGGAUGAUCAGCCACACUGGAACUGAGACACGGUCCAGACUCCUACGGGAGGCAGCAGUGGGGAAUAUUGGACAAGGGGCGCAAGCCUGAUCCAGCCAGACCGCGUGGGUGAAGAAGGCCUUCGGGUUGUAAAGCCCUUUUGUUGGGAAAGAAAAGCAGCAGGUUAAUACCCCGCUGUUCUGACGGUACCCAAAGAAUAAGCACCGGCUAACUUCGUG
RNAcentral lists this ribosomal RNA (492 nucleotides) under uncultured bacterium. RNAcentral describes it as "partial 16S ribosomal RNA". It matches the Rfam family "Bacterial small subunit ribosomal RNA", at positions 29 to 507 of the family's 1533-position model. The record is from RNAcentral.